CCCUUAGAUGUUCUGAACCGCACGCGUGUUACACUGAUGCAUUCAACGAGCUUUACCUUGGCCGAGAUGCCUGGGAAAUCUUUUUAGCAUGCAUCGUGAUAGGGAUUGAUUAUUGCAAUUAUUAAUCAUGAACGAGGAAUUCCUAGUAAACGCAUUUCAUCAAAAUGCAUUGAUUACGUCCCUGCCCUUUGUACACACCGCCCGUCGCACCUACCGAUUGAGUGGUCCGGUGAAGUCUCGAGAUUGUGGCAAUCUCCUUUAUUGGAGUUUGACUGCGAGAACUUGCCUAAACCUUAUCACUUAGAGGAAGGUGAAGUCGUAACA
This 324-nucleotide ribosomal RNA is filed under the name uncultured eukaryote. RNAcentral describes it as "partial 18S ribosomal RNA". It matches the Rfam family "Eukaryotic small subunit ribosomal RNA", at positions 1470 to 1796 of the family's 1831-position model. The record is from RNAcentral.